Molecule: long non-coding RNA, 349 nt
Filed under: Phaseolus vulgaris (common bean)
Lineage: Eukaryota; Viridiplantae; Streptophyta; Magnoliopsida; Fabales; Fabaceae
Description: long non-coding RNA (PVUL_LNC004318)
Source: RNAcentral
GAAGGACCGGGAACAGAGAAGCAAGAUACAGGUAUGGAUGUAGAUGAAGAUGACAAACCUGCUGAUAUGGAACCUAAGGAUGUGAUGGAGGUAGACACGGAUAAUGGGACAAUUGCAUCUGAUUUACAGGAGGGAACUGCUGGUACACCUGAAGAUGAUGAAAUAGAUCCAUUGGAUGCUUUCAUGAAUUCUAUGGUUCUACCUGAAGUUGAAAAGCUGAACAAUGCUGUGACAUCAGUAAUUUCUGAUAAAGCCGUUGACAUAAAAGCCAAAGAUAAAGGGAAUGAGCAAAGUCGUGGUACACAGUCAAGGAAAGGUUCAAAUAAGUCUAUUGGCAGAAUAAUUCCUG